Molecule: RNA transcript, 1842 nt
Organism: Prosopis cineraria
Lineage: Eukaryota; Viridiplantae; Streptophyta; Magnoliopsida; Fabales; Fabaceae
Gene name: aspartate aminotransferase, mitochondrial
Exons: 11
Source: RefSeq, a predicted model, not a curated record
ACUUUGAUGACACACACGCAUUUCAAGGUUGCUUGGCGCAGAAAAACGAUCCCGAUUCGCUUCUUCUCUGCUUAGCUGUAUCGCAACAGUUUCACUUCCCCCCUCGUUUUUCCCUUCGGCUCCAUCCUAGUCUCCUCUGACGCCUGUCUCCUUGCUCUUUAGACAGUGAAUCAUGCCGAUUGACAGCGUUACCUCAAGCCGAAUCGUUGCCCGGGGCUCUGUCAUCGGAGCCAGAUUUAUGUCUUCAUGGUGGCGGAGCAUCGAACCUGCUCCCAAGGAUCCGAUUCUCGGAGUUACCGAAGCUUUCCUCGCUGAUCAGAGUCCUAACAAAGUCAAUGUUGGAGUUGGUGCCUAUCGCGAUGACAAUGGAAGGCCUGUGGUUCUUGAUUGUGUCAGAGAAGCUGAGCGCAGGAUAGCUGGAAAUGAAUACAUGGAGUAUCUUCCUAUUGGUGGGAGCAUAAAGAUGGUAGAAGAAUCAUUGAAGCUGGCUUAUGGAGAGAACUCUGAGUUCGUCAAAAAUAAAAGAAUAGCUGCAGUGCAGUCUCUGUCUGGGACUGGUGCAUGCCGACUUUUUGCGGCAUUUCAACAGCGUUUUCAUCCUGACUCCCAAAUCUAUUUGCCAAUCCCUACGUGGUCCAACCACCAUAACAUUUGGAGGGACGCUGGAGUGCCUAUGAAGACAUUCCGUUACUAUCACCCAGGGACUAGAGGCUUGGAUUUUGCAGCGUUGAUGGAUGAGAUAAAGAAUGCUCCAAACGGCUCAUUCUUUUUGCUUCAUGCUUGUGCUCACAAUCCAACUGGAGUAGAUCCUUCAGAGGAACAAUGGAAAGAGAUAUCUUCCCAAUUCAAGUUAAAAGGCCAUUUCCCCUUCUUUGACAUGGCAUAUCAAGGUUUUGCUAGUGGCAAUCCAGAGAAAGAUGCAAAGGCUAUCAAGAUUUUUCUUGAUGAUGGCCAUUUAAUAGGACUUGCUCAGUCAUACGCCAAAAAUAUGGGAUUGUAUGGCCAGCGUGUAGGAUGCCUGAGCUUGGUUUGCGAAGAUGAAAAACAAGCUGUGGCUGUAAAAAGUCAGCUGCAGCUGCUUGCGAGACCGAUGUAUAGUAAUCCGCCUGUUCAUGGGGCACGCAUAGUUUCAACUGUCCUUGGUGACCCAGAGUUGAAAAAGUUAUGGCUCAAAGAAGUUAAGAUUUUCUUCAGUGGCAUGGCUAGUCUGAUCCACGCCAUGAGAAGAACUGUAAAGGUUCAACCAACGUUAGGUAAUGGCAGACCGCAUAAUUGGAAUGCGGGCCACCCUACGGGAGUGCUUAGAAAAGCGGGGGUCUCCUUCAUCUUGGCAGCACAUAACCGAUCAGAUUGGCAUGUUUUGCUACACUGGAUUGACACCGGAGCAGGUUGACCGUUUGACGAGCGAAUUUCACAUUUAUAUGACUCGUAAUGGUCGCAUAAGUAUGGCUGGUCUCAAUACGGGCAACGUCGCAUACCUGGCCGACGCCAUUCACGAGGUCACAAAAUCUGCCUAGAUUUUUCUGUUACGUAUUACAUCAAAUCAAAAUUGUCUUAGGGGCGGUACCCAGUAGGGUUAGCUUUGCCCAGUUGAUACCCAAUAAAUUAUGACCCCCUUACCAUUCCUCAAUUAACCAUUAAUGGGGAAGAUCUUCAGGGUCGUAUCCCGCGUAUUUAACACACCUUUGUGGUGUCCUAUCUCCAUUCUUUUACAGUCCUCUCUUCCGUGUUCUUUGGGGGAAAAUUAGAUUUGGGGGAGGGUUUCGCUUUGUAGGAAUAUAAAGUUCGUUCAGAGCAUUGCUUGAACUUCACUCAUCAUAAUCUCAAAGACUUUUGAUUCAA